Long non-coding RNA from Myotis brandtii (Brandt's bat), 913 nucleotides. RefSeq lists it as uncharacterized. The transcript has 3 exons. Lineage: Eukaryota; Metazoa; Chordata; Mammalia; Chiroptera; Vespertilionidae. The record is from RefSeq and is a predicted model, not a curated record.
GUUUUCUUGAAGUAAUGUUUUUCCAGAACAGACCGCGCAGGGGAGGAAGCAGCCAGGCUGGAGACUUGCGUGCUUGGGAACAAAAGUGCAACAUGUGCCCUUUGGCCCACAGACUUAGCAGACUGUGCGGAUCGGGCCAGACAGACCACCGCGGAGUCUCGCGGCUCGACCCAGCUCCUGCGAUUGUGAGAAGGCAGAGCUGACACUGAGGCCGUCUGGCAGCAGGGACAGCCCUGGAACGUGGCCACAGCAGGCAGAGAAGGGACAGAAGUUGAAGGAGGGAGCUCAGCCCACUGUCAGGAGGCUCCAAACUGGGUGGCUGCAGGUGCCUUGGCAGCACACACAGGAAGUUAAAAUAAAGCCAAGGAAAUUGGGCAACUUCAGUCGUAAAGUUGGGGAAGGAACCCGAGAUAAAGUGGAUGCUGGAACUGAGUUAACAUUUAACUCUAAUUUCUCGGACGCUGAGGGUUUUCUAAAAGUGCCAAUUCUUGCUCGAAAAAAGAAAAAAAAGAAAAAGUGCAGAGCAGCUCCUCAGGACACUCUGUUCAGGAGUCAGUGUCUGAACGUUCGGCCAGGAAAUGACACGACAGUCAAUGUCCCAAAGCGGGAGCACUUGUCUCAGGAGAAAAGGCUUCUUCACGUGGACAUGGUUGGUGUCUUUGCCUAAGAAAGUCUUGGGCAUGAUGGCCAGUCCUCCACGGGCAGCGCAGCUGUCGGCAGCUGGACAGGGCCCAGCAAGCUGGGAGACGGAUCCCGGGCAGGACCCUCGGGCCUGCUGUGCUUUCGCUGGGACAGGGUGGUGCCCAGAGCGGGCGAGGACCUGUCCUCUGAGUUGUUGAUUGACACCAGAUCCUCGUGCCCCCGACGGAGUGAAAUGCUCCCAGGCUGCGCUCUGGUCCUGUCAGGGCUUCGA